CGUGUUUUGCAGACAUUGGUGCUGGGUUUACAAGUUCUGGGAUGUCGCUGCGUCUGGGUGUUAUUGCAGGUCACCUGUGGAUGGAGCUGGGUGAAUAGUUGAUGUUUCGGGCUGGCAGCAAACAGAAAACCAGAGCAGGGAUUCGGGUCAGUUCCGAACGCUUUUGGAAUUUGUCAGUAAAUCGGGAAACUCUGCUUCGGGUCAUAAAAAUGUUUCACUCGGGGCAGCUUCCUAAGAAUUCCUGCCCCACCCAACCUUUCUCUGGGGUGAGGGCACUCGUCUGGGAUGUGGGAGACCCACAUGUGGAACCCCACUUUGGAGCAGGGUCUUGAGCAGAAGCCUGGACCCUUGAACCUGAGAUGUCAGGGAAUGUCGGGGAGCGGCGGCCCAGACCCCUGAGGAUGUAGCGAGCAGGAGGAGAGGCAGAGAGGAGUAAUUCCCGGAGCUGCCGCUGGAUACUGUGUGGUUCCAGCUGUAGAUUACCUUCUCCUCUGAGACUGUCUGCGAUGAAACCUCCUCCCCAUCCUUGCAGAAGACGAUGCGGGUCGCCAGGACCUGGGAGAAUACGGAGCACUGGAGCCGCAUGGAGUCACCUGGCCGGGCAGACGUCGGGCUCAGCUGGAAGCCUUUUCUAUCAAUACAAACCCUUCUGGCAUGAGUGUAUGUGGGGACAGACAGACAGACGGACUCACCGGGAGCUGAGCAGAUCUCCUGGAUGCUGGGACUCAGCGCUGCGAAUAGAAAGGUUCGAUGUGGUUAGUGCUGGAGUUAAAAUCUCUCCCUUGUCUGAGGUCCCUCU
Long non-coding RNA from Mauremys reevesii (Reeves's turtle), 799 nucleotides. RefSeq lists it as uncharacterized. The transcript has 3 exons. Lineage: Eukaryota; Metazoa; Chordata; Testudines; Geoemydidae. The record is from RefSeq and is a predicted model, not a curated record.